This 72-nucleotide transfer RNA is filed under the name Stegastes flavilatus (beaubrummel damselfish). RNAcentral describes it as "tRNA-Trp". It matches the Rfam family "tRNA". From Rfam's summary of the family: Transfer RNA (tRNA) molecules are approximately 80 nucleotides in length. Their secondary structure includes four short double-helical elements and three loops (D, anti-codon, and T loops). The record is from RNAcentral. Lineage: Eukaryota; Metazoa; Chordata; Actinopteri; Pomacentridae.
AGCGGCUUAGGAUAGCAGACAAACCAAGGGCCUUCAAAGCCCUAAUCGGGAGUUAAAACCUCCCAGCCCCUG